CCUACGGGGCGCAGCAGUGGGGAAUAUUGCACAAUGGGGGAAACCCUGAUGCAGCGACGCCGCGUGAGCGAAGAAGUAUUUCGGUAUGUAAAGCUCUAUCAGCAGGGGAGAAAAAUGACGGUACCUGAGUAAGAAGCACCGGCUAAAUACGUGCCAGCAGCCGCGGUAAUACGUAUGGUGCAAGCGUUAUCCGGAUUUACUGGGUGUAAAGGGAGCGCAGACGGCAGGGCAAGUCUGAUGUGAAAGUCCGGGGCUCAACCCCGGGACUGCAUUGGAAACUGUCCGGCUAGAGUGCAGGAGAGGUA
RNAcentral lists this ribosomal RNA (305 nucleotides) under uncultured bacterium. RNAcentral's name for it is "bacterial SSU rRNA". It matches the Rfam family "Bacterial small subunit ribosomal RNA", at positions 338 to 659 of the family's 1533-position model. The record is from RNAcentral.